This is a small nucleolar RNA of Suncus etruscus (white-toothed pygmy shrew), 146 nucleotides long. NCBI's taxonomy places the organism in Eukaryota, Metazoa, Chordata, Mammalia, Eulipotyphla, Soricidae. The record is from RefSeq and is a predicted model, not a curated record.
CACCUCCCAAAGAUCGAAUCUGCAGAGUGGAUCUGUAUUCUGCUAGCUUCGGAGAUGGGAGGAAAAACAAGCCGUGGCAGAGGAGAUACCCAUUCCAUUCCCAGCUUGCUCCGUGGCUGGCGAUUGGAAGACUCUCUGCGACAGUG